This 1353-nucleotide ribosomal RNA is filed under the name Triticum aestivum (bread wheat). Its description in RNAcentral is "partial small subunit ribosomal RNA". The record is from RNAcentral. Lineage: Eukaryota; Viridiplantae; Streptophyta; Magnoliopsida; Poales; Poaceae.
AUGUGGUCGACCGCGGCGUGGUGGUGGGCCCACCACCACAUACGCCUCCUUCUCCCGGCCCUCUUCCUCGCCGCCGCCCUCUUCUUCUUCCUCGCCUCCCCGCGCUCCUCCCCAUCCUUCUUCGCCCUACCGGCCUCCAGGGAGCAUUCGCCGUCGGGGUCGCGGCUCAUAUGGGCGCAGCGGCGUUUGGCGGAGUGGCGGCCGUGCGAGUGGUGGCAGACGGCAAUGCCCGCAGCUCCGUCGACGAGGAAUGGCUACAUCAGGAUAGAUUGCUACGGCGGCCUCAACCAGCUGCGGCGCGAUCUGUGCGAUGGAAUUGCGGUUGCACGUCUUCUGAACGCGACAAUGGUUCUGCCCAAGUUUGAGGUUGCUGCAUACUGGAAUGAGUCUAGUGGUUUUGCAGACGUGUUUGAUGUUGAUCACUUCAUUGAGCAAACUAGAGGUUAUGUGGAAGUGGUGAAGGAUAUGCCCGAGGAGAUAUCGUUGAAAGAGCCAUUUAAGGUCGAUUGCCGAAAACGGAAAGGACAUUUUGAUUAUGUAGAAACAGUUCUUCCAGCUCUUUUAGAACAUCGAUACAUUUCUCUGACACCUGCCAUGAGCCAAAGAAAAGAUAGAUAUCCAGCACAUGCGAAAGCUUGUUACUGCCAAGGUUGCUACAAUGCACUCCAGUUGAACAAGAAGGUGGAAGCCAAAGCUAUGGAGCUUCUCCAAGCGAUACCAAAACCUUUCUUAUCACUUCACCUUAGAUUUGAACCAGAUAUGGUUGCCUACAGUCGAUGUGAAUACAGUGCCCUUUCUUCCAAAUCACUGGAUGUGAUUGAAGCUGCACGUGGGGAGGACAGGAAUGUAUUGAUUGGUGAUGCUGCUCGUCUGUGGAGGAACCGUGGAAAGUGCCCUCUAACACCAAGUGAGACAGCAUUUAUCCUCCAAGCACUAGGUAUUCCUACGGAGACAAACAUUUAUUUAGCUGCUGGGGAUGGGUUAAUGGAACUCGAGGGCUUCACUUCGAUCUACAAAAAUAUGUAUACUAAAUCGUCUCUCCUGACUCAUGAAGAUUUUGAGAGGAUGCAUGGCAACACAAAAGCUGCUCUCGACUACUAUGUUUCAGUCAACAGCGAUGCUUAUGUUACCACAUUCUUUGGAAAUAUGGAUAAGAUGGUAACUGCAAUGAGAACAAUGCAAGGGCUGCAGAAGACAUUGGUCUUGAGUAGGAGGGCCUUCGCAAACUACACGGCUGCUGGACUGGCAGGGGACCAACUAGCUAAGGCCAUGUGGGAUGCUCACCGAGAGGAUUAUAUCAUGGGGAGGGGAUUAGCUCUCCCUGAACAUUGCUUUUGUGAGUUCAAGUUGUAG